UACGGAGGAUGCAAGCGUUAUCCGGAAUGAUUGGGCGUAAAGCGUCCGCAGGUGGCUGUGUAAGUCUGCCGUCAAAGAGCAAAGCUCAACUUUGUAAAGGCAGUGGAAACUACACGGCUAGAGUGCGUUCGGGGCAGAGGGAAUUCCUGGUGUAGCGGUGAAAUGCGUAGAGAUCAGGAAGAACACCGGUGGCGAAGGCGCUCUGCUAGGCCGCAACUGACACUGAGGGACGAAAGCUAGGGGAGCGAAUGGG
Molecule: ribosomal RNA, 253 nt
Filed under: uncultured bacterium
Lineage: Bacteria
Description: partial 16S ribosomal RNA
Rfam family: Bacterial small subunit ribosomal RNA
Source: RNAcentral